AAUCAACGCUGGCGGCGUGCCUCAGACAUGCAAGUCGAACGAGAAAGUCCCCUUCGGGGGGGUGAGUAAAGUGGCGCACGGGUGAGUAACACGUAGGUAAUCUACCUUCGGGUGGGGAAUAACCCAGGGAAACUUGGGCUAACACCGCAUAAUGCAGCGGCACCACAUGGUGACAGUUGUUAAAGCGGGGGAUUUUAGGACCUCGCGCCUGAAGAGGAGCCUGCGGCGGAUUAGCUAGUUGGUAGGGAACGGCUUACCAAGGCGACGAUCCGUAACCGGCCUGAGAGGGCGGUCGGUCACACUGACACUGACAUACGGGUCAGACUCCUACGGGAGGCAGCAGUCGGGAAUUUUGGGCAAUGGGCGAAAGCCUGACCCAGCAACG
This 385-nucleotide ribosomal RNA is filed under the name uncultured bacterium. RNAcentral's name for it is "bacterial SSU rRNA". It matches the Rfam family "Bacterial small subunit ribosomal RNA", at positions 32 to 396 of the family's 1533-position model. The record is from RNAcentral.